AAUACUAUCUACUACUAGACUACUAAUUCCCAAAUCGGCAAAUCCCUAGCAGCCGUCGCUCCCAAUUCCCAAAUCGGCAAAUCCCAAUCCCAGAUCUCACUUCAUCUCCGGCCAUCUACGACAGCUCGGCAAAUUGCCCUAGCAGCUCGGCUUCUGUCAUCUCCGACAGCUCGCCUCUCUCCGCCUCUCUCGACCGUGAUUCUGAAUUUCUGAUGCAGCUUCAGUCUGAAUCGGGAACUACUCCUAACACCGUCACGGCGUCACUGCUCCUGUUAGGCUGUUACUUCGGAACUCUAAGCUCAGCACCUACUACUACCUCGAAUUGAUGUCAAUAUCACCGUCAACUUUCCAGCUUGAAAAGAACGGUGAAGGUGGGUCAUAAUCGAUUCGGGGACGGCCGUGACCCAUUUACAAACGGGAGCAUACUAACGGAGAGUUGAGGUCCCAACGGUGUCGUUUCACUUUUCCAACGGAAAGGAGUGGUCUUUAGUCUUUACUGGCUAAGUCUUACAUGCUAGAGGUUGAUAUGAGCUAGAGGUUACCUCUGAUCAUAUGAGCUAGAGGUUAAUAACAGCACCUUUUACGAUUUUGUGCUACGAUUUUGUUGGCUUGUUUUAAGUUAUUUUGCUGUUGCAUAGUUACUUUGUUGGAUUUAUUUGUUGGGCAGUUAUGAGUUAACAGUUAAUUUAUGUUGAAAGCUUGUUCGGUUUUUACCCGAAUACCCGAAAUUACUAUUCGGUAAUUCGGUAUUCGGUAAUUCGGUUAUUUUCAAAUUUCGGUUAGUGGUUCGGAUAGCAGAAAUACUAAUAAUUCGGUUUUCGGUUAUAACCGAAUAGUUUAUUCGGUUCGGUUAUAACCGAAUGAUCACCCCUAGCAGCAUAGGGAUUGGAGGAGUUGGAAAAAGUUUGAUACGUAUACUGCUAAGUGGAAAGAGAGACAUCAUCACUUGAUUGGUGAUCCGACCAUGCCUCCCAUGAAUCAUCUGAAUGAGCUAGAUGACGAGGAGCUUGAUCAUAACAUCCAUUCCAAUGGUUCUCCCUUCUCCCCUCUAGUGGAUGAUCAUAGUUUAGCUCAGAAUGAUGGUCAUUCUCCUCCCUUGACUUGCUCGCAAACUGAUCCGACCAUGACUUCUCUGUUAUCUACUGGUGGUCCAAUUUUUACACCAGUAACUACCGUUGAACGACGACCACCAGUAUUGGCCGAUACACAAGAUGAGUUUU
RNAcentral lists this long non-coding RNA (1220 nucleotides) under Panax ginseng (ginseng). RNAcentral's name for it is "long non-coding RNA (PGIN_LNC010660)". Lineage: Eukaryota; Viridiplantae; Streptophyta; Magnoliopsida; Apiales; Araliaceae. The record is from RNAcentral.